UGGGGUUCAGCUCAAGCUCUAGCUUUGACGGUCCCGGUUGGGGUUCGGGCUUUAGGUCAGGUUGUGGAGCGGGGUUAUUCGGAUCCGGUUGCGGUUCUGGCUUUGGAUCAGGCUGUGGUGUUGGUUUGGGUUCCGGCUUCGGGUCAGGUUGUGGCGUGGGGUUUGGAUCGGGCUGCGGUUGGGGCUUUGGGUCAGGCUGUGGUGUUGGUUUGGGUUCCGGUUUCUUGUCAGGUUGUGGCGCAGGGUUUGGAUCAGGCUGCGGUUGCGGCUUCAGGUCAGGCUGCGGUUGGGGCUUUGGGUCAGGUCGUGGUGUGAGGUUUGGAUCAGGCUGCGGUUGGGGCUUUGGAUCGGGCUGCGGUUGGGGGUUUGGGUCAGGUUGUGGUGUUGGGUUUGGAUCAGGCUGCGGUUGGGGCUUUGGGUCGGGCUGUGGUGCCGGGUUUGGAUCAGGCUGCGGUUGUGGCUUUGGGUUGGGUUGUGGUGUUGGUUUGGGAUCUGGCUUUGGGUCUGGUUGUGGUGUUGGUUUGGGAUCUGGCUUUGGAUCAGGUUGUGGUUCGGGCUGUGGUGUUGGUUUGGGCCGUGGCUUUGGGUCGAUCACCCUGCCACAGGCAAGGUCAGGAACACUUGCAGCAAGUGUGAGGACUAGGGCCAAGAGGAGAGCGGACCUCAUCGCGCUAGCUGCCACUGGAAUCGUAGC
This 694-nucleotide long non-coding RNA is filed under the name Setaria italica (foxtail millet). RNAcentral describes it as "long non-coding RNA (SITA_LNC004874)". Lineage: Eukaryota; Viridiplantae; Streptophyta; Magnoliopsida; Poales; Poaceae. The record is from RNAcentral.